Canis lupus familiaris (dog) is the source of this 1295-nucleotide long non-coding RNA. RefSeq lists it as uncharacterized. Lineage: Eukaryota; Metazoa; Chordata; Mammalia; Carnivora; Canidae. The transcript is spliced from 7 exons. The record is from RefSeq and is a predicted model, not a curated record.
CAAUGAGUACAGGAUAGUACCAUUAAUUUAUUUUCCUUAUGCUUUUCUUAACAUUUUUGUUUCUAGCUUGCUUUAUUGUAAAUAUACAGCAUAUAGUAAAUAUAGCAUACAAAAUACAUGGUAAUCAACUGUUUCUGUUAUUUGGUAAGGCUCUGGUCAAUAGCAGCCUAUUACGUUUCGGGGGAGUCUAAAAUUAUACAUGGGUGUUUGUAUAGGGGGGUGGUGCCCCAACCCCCAUGUUGUAUAUGGAUCAGUUGUAUGUACAUAUUUUAUGAAAUUGCUUUUAACUCAUUUAAGAAAAGAAAUGAGAAAAUAUGCAUGUAUAAGUUUAACAAUGUUCUUUGGUCAUGGAUUUGUGUAACUGAGAUGACCUGUUUUCCAUCUGAAGAACUUACUAGAAAAUCUCUUGUAAAAUGAAUUGACUGGCAACAAAUUCUUUCAGUUUCUGUUUACCUAGGGAAGUCUAUUUCACCUUCAUUUUUAAAAGAUACCUUUGCUGAAUAUCAGAUUAUUGGUUCACAGUUUUAAUUUUUUUUGUUUGAGACUUUGAAUGUUUUCCCACUGCUUUCUAGCUUCAGUUGUUGCUGCUGAGAAGUCAACCAUUGCUCUUACUGGGCUUCCUCGUUAAGAGCGACAUGGCUCCACUUUGAAGCCCUGAAAGACCAUGCUAUGAGCUACAGUCCACCAAGACCAAGGCUACCCCACCCAGAGUGUGGAUGAGGAAUUGCAGAUACAAUGAGAAGUAGGAAAGCAAAUGAGGAGGAAUGGGGCAUAAUGUGUUUCCCAAGAAGAGGAGAUACCGCGUUUGAAAGCCCAGAAGUCCGUGAGAAUGUGGUGUGUUCGAGAAACCAACAGAAUCCCACACAACACAGUGAUGAAAGGCAAGCUUUGACCUUAAGGGAUAUCUUUGGUUGAGAGCGGAAAUGGAAAAGAUGUACCAAUGAGGAAAGCUGAGUAUUCUACAGAAGCAGGCACGAGGAACCACCCAGGCAAAGACAAGAAUGAGGAGAAUUGAGAAGAAAGGCUGGAAUGUGUCAAUGCCAACAGAGGGCUGAAAUUAUCCCGCAUCCAACCACCAAAGACUACCGUGUUUUGGGACAUAAAGAAUCUGGCACUAGCAGUCCGACAUCACAGUGCGGUGUGUUAGGGGGCUCAAACCAGACGCUGUUUGUGAAAACAUUCUAUUCACUAGUAUGCACAUAGUCCACACCCCGGUCCUAAAUCUACAGCAAUAACCCUGAAAACCAGAGUCUGGAGUUGUGAGGUGCUCCCCGCCCCCUCCGCGAGCAGCCGGC